Molecule: ribosomal RNA, 254 nt
Filed under: uncultured bacterium
Lineage: Bacteria
Description: partial 16S ribosomal RNA
Rfam family: Bacterial small subunit ribosomal RNA
Source: RNAcentral
UACGUAGGGUGCAGGCGUUAAUCGGAAUUACUGGGCGUAAAGCGUGCGCAGGCGGUUUGCUAAGACCGAUGUGAAAUCCCCGGGCUUAACCUGGGAACUGCAUUGGUGACUGGCAGGCUAGAGUAUGGCAGAGGGGGGUAGAAUUCCACGGUGUAGCAGUGAAAUGCGUAGAGAUGUGGAGGAAUACCGAUGGCGAAGGCAGCCCCCUGGGCCAAUACUGACGCUCAUGCACGAAAGCGUGGGGAGCAAACAGG